GGGGAAGGUCUUUCCCAUGCUGUUCUCAUGAUAGUGAAUAAGUCUCAUCUGAUGGUUUUAUAAAGGGGAGUUCCCUUACACAAGCUCUCUCGCCUGCCGCCACGCAAGACAUGACUCUUUGCUCCUCAUUCGCCUUCAGCCAUGAUUGUGAGGCCUUCCCAGCCAUGUGAAACUCUCGGGAGCCCUCUUGUCUGGAAAGGCUCUUCCCUGCUGGUGCCUCCAGGCUGGGCUGGUUGUUGCUCCUCUAUGCUCCCGAGGUCCUCAGUGCCUGCCUUUAUCAGAACAGAGGCCACAGCGCACCUUGGUUAAAUGUACAGUCUCUGGGACCAGACUGCCUGGACUCACAACUCUGGCUCCGCCAUUUACAGGUGAGUCACAUAACCUCUCGGUGCCCCCACUUCCUUGCCUGCAAAGUAUCAUUUACCACAACUACUCAUUGGAUUGGUGUGAGGGUUCAAUGAGAAAAAUCUAUGAGAAGUGCUAAGAAUAGUACCCGCCAUCAAUUAAAUUCUAUUUGUGCCUAUAAAAAUAACAUUUGUUGUAUGUAAUGAAAUUGUGUUUACUUGUGUGUCUCCACCAUCAGGCUAAGACAUCCUCAAGUCUAAGGACCUUGGUGUUUUCAUCCCAGAGCCCCACACCUUGCAAGUGUCCAGAGCAUAGUCAUUGGAUGAUGCUGUUUCCCACUUACCCUCUGGUUUGACAUGGCUGCAGGAUUGGCAUAUGGAAACUGACUGGGUUGAGAAGAGACUCAAAUAGGGACAGACUGGAGAUGUAGGCUUAGAAAGGAGAGAUUUCCUGAAGCUUUAAUGCUGUGCAAUAGAAAUAUACAGCAUCAACUUCCUUAUACAACUAGGCGGGUCAGCAGGUCACCUGUGGCGGACCCAGGGAGGAUGUCCUCACACCGAACAGGUGAGCUUGGCUCGGAGCAUGGCCAGGAGCCAGCCCAUAGCCACAUGCCACCACUUUCUGGCCUUCACUGUGUUUGCCUUAGUGUCCUCGUCUGUAAAACAGGACUAAUGGCAUCUACCUCACAAGGCUGAUGUUAGAACUUUGUGAGGAAACAGUUUUCAAAAGCUUAGAACAGUGUCUGGCAUGUCCUCAAUUGGCAAGAAAUGUCAGCUCCUCUUGGUGUGAUGAUCACCAAACCCACUUUUUUUUACAAACAGAGUGGGGAGACACCACGUCAUUUUCAUUCUUGUUUCAGGAUCUUGGGAAUUUCUGUUUGUCCAUUUAUGCAUUUGUUUUUGUCUUUAUUUAUUUAUUUAGAGUUCUGGUGGAGAUAAUUUGUUAGCAGGUUUUCUGUUGGAAGGUGCAAGCCUUCUUCCCUAGCCUCAAUAAGUGUGUCCCUGUAGGCAGAGGGGGGCAAUAUAGCUUCUCAAUCUUCGAAGACUUCCUAAGGACAACAUCACUCUCAGGUUGGAAAUUCUCCGAAAUCCCAGCUUCCAGCAACCCACAGUCAAGUAUUCCUAGGGAUAUGAGAGGGUUUUGUUCGCAGUCACAGAACACGUAUAAAUGGGGAUAAACUCAAAUGGUUUGUUGUUUUGGUUAAAGUCAAUAAAAGGGAAGAAGAACAAGGAAAUCAAAUACGGGUCCAGUGGGACCAUCCUCAGUGUAAUAACAGCCUUUCCCAUUAGCUUUCUAAGCAACUUUUAGGCUGCUGAUUUGCCGCAGAAAGACUUUUUAAAAAUGCUUUAGUUUCAUACAUGGAAAGAAGCCCUCAGGGUGAAUUGCUGGCUGCCCUACAUUAGAGGCCUAGCAGUAAGAACCAUUAGCUCUAAAGAGAGGUUAAUUACGAGGAGAACUCCCUGGCCUAAGCUGAGGGAGUUACAGUGAUUCCCAGUGAGAGGCUAAUCAGGAGGCAGCGUUGGGUGGCAACAGCCCUCUCCUGGACAAGGGCUUAAUGGGAGUGUCUAAUACCAUUUGCAGUGUUUGGGUUUAUGUGGGGACCAGGGGUCCUUUUGUGUUUGGGUUCAUUAGCUUCAGGGAUUAUUGCCUAUGGGGAUUCACUAACAAGUAGCAGGGGAAGGCGGGAAGAGGCAAGAUGAGCUGGAGAGAUUCAGCAAGACCUCUUAUUCUAUAAAAUUAAGAUCUUGAUGAAACCCCAGACUUUGUCCAGGGCUGGCUCCUUGGUCUAUCUGGAUUGGCAAAUAGGUGUAGACAACAUAUUACAGGAUCUUACACCCCAUGUCAUCUAUUCCAGAUGAUUCUGCAAUCAGCUGUGCCUUAAAACAUGUUCAUGAAAGCUACUCUUGAUUUCCAAGAAACUGCAUGAGAUUUCGUUUAGAAGCCCUUGAAAACAAAGUUUGUAUUUUGUCAAGAAAAGUUUGUUUAGAGCCAGCAACACAAUUUCCAACCCAUUCACCACCCUCCACCAACAUUCUGAGGGCAAAUAGGAAUCCAGGAUGUGCAAAAUUUAGGAACUUUUCUCCAAAAGAGAAAAGUUUUCUCCAAAAGAGACAAAAUAUAUAUAAGCAUCAGAUUCCACAGUUACUAACUGAGCACCUACUAUGUGCUUGACACUGUGCAGAGUACUUUGCUUUGCUCCACGAUUCCCACAAUGCUCAUUACUCCACGGGACAGGGGUAUGGUUAUCAGUUCUGCAGAUGGUGAGACUGAGGCCUACAGACUCACAAAAGGCCACACAAUGAGAGCAGAGCCAGCCUCUGUCUUCCAGUCCUUUAACUUUGGUCAUUUUUCCUGUCCUCUGCCCUGCCUCAACAGAAUAACCCAAAUAGUUACCUGUAAUGGAAAUUAGAACCAUUGUAACAAGUAUUCACAAGUAUUUAGCUUAAGGGAAGAAAUGUUAAAAUGUCUCUCCCUGUGGGUUACUGAGUGUGACACCCCCUGACCUCACCCACCCUCUACAAGUGGGGGCCAGGAGCCCUGUUGUGUGUUGUUGUUGUUUGUCUUCCCAACUUUGGAGUGAAUAAGUAUGCAGAUAAACCCUGUGACAAAUAUCAGGUAAAUCUGAAGUGGCUGUGUGUGUUGACAUUUCAUUUUUAUUAUGUUUUCAAUAUCUGCGAAAAUUUUCAAUAAAUAAAUUUUUCUUAUGACACCUUCAAAUUGAAUUAUAUUUUAAGAAUAUCUACUUCGCUGUGCUGGCACUGGAUGAAAUUCUACCAUUUUGAACUUCUGCUCUUCAUGCCCAUGUGACAAUUAAGGUAAUUAUAUAACAUCUUACUGAAUGAUGAUCUUGUCACAGGUUAAUAAAAAUUAAUGUAUUUCUAUUCUUCACUCUUUAGUUUCUUAUCAACAUUCAGCUUAAGCAUUUUUAGCUUUUAAAUAUUGUACAUUUGGCAAUGUCUAUAAGACAUUUCCACUUGAGUUCAGCCAAGGCGGUAUGCAAAUGAGGAGCUGACACUGUUCUGUAAGUCAGCAGAAUGCGGUGGGUAACAGUCUGGUUUCUGGAGCCAGCUUGCCUGAGUUUGGUUCCUGGUAUACCAUCAUUUCUGCUGUUGAUCUUGGGCAAGUUACUGCACCCAGCUCCAUCUUAUGUUCUCUGUAAAAAUAAGAUUAAACAUGCCCCUGCCCCACUUGGUUCCUGUAAAACCAUUAUUUAUGGAAAGUGUUUAGAACGAUGCCUGGAAUAUAGUAACUCUAUAUAACUAAUUGCUGUUAUUAUCAUUAUGUAGGAAAAACAAUGAAUAAGACCUAAAAAAUUUGGAAGGCAGCUACUGGGACAUCAGGAAUCAGGACUUGUGUAUGCUGGGCCUCACCACCAUGACCUUCCAGAACUGAAGAACUUGCAGUACUAAAGCACUUAAUGAUUACCUUAGUCCAUCUGUGCUGCCAUCACAAAAUGCCACAGAUGGAGUAAUUGAUCAAGAACACAACUUUAUUUCUUGCAGUUCUGGAGGCUAGGGAAUCCAAAACCAAGCUUCCUGGCAUUGGCGUCUAGUGAGGGCUGCCCUCUGCUUUCAAGGCGGCGCCUUGUUGCUGUGUCUUCACAUAGCAGAUGGAAGGGCAAGAGGGCUGAACACUGUAUGAAGCCUCUUUUAUAAGGGCCCUAAUCUGAUUCAUUAGAUCUCCACUCUCAUGACUUAAUCACCUCCUAAAGGCCCCCUCUUAACACUGUCACAUUGGUGAUUAAGUUUCAACAUAUGAAUUUUGGAGGGGACACAAACAUUCAAGCCAUAGCAGUGAUAUAGUCAUGACUCUUCUCCCCUAACUCACCUCUCAGGCCUGUAAUGUUCAUGCUUUUUUCAGUCUAUUAAAUAAAUCAGCUCGUAGUUCACAAAAUAUAGGCAAACAAUCUUAAGAUGUGAAAGUAUAAAUAAGUAGCCACUUAGCAAAAAGUUUGAUUCUCGUAGGCAGAAUUUAUGGGAUGUGUUAAGCAUAAGAUAAGCAGAUAGCAAGUAGAACGUGUGUGUUAUACCGAGAUUGAGUAGGAUGAAAGGACCGAGAAAUAGCUAAUAUUUAUGAUGCAGUUGAGUAUUAAAUAUUUGUAACGUACUAGAUAGACAUUUAGACAUAAGGCUAAACACCAAGAGGUACCAAAUAGACAUGAGCAUUUUAUAUACAUGAUCUCCUAAUUUGGCAACCUAUUGGCUAUAUCUUUCUGGUCCAAUGUGUCCUCUGCCUCCAAAAACAAAUAGAACUUAUGGCUGCUCAUCUUGCUAACUGGCAAGCUAUAGCUGUCACCAGGCAUACUUGUCCUUAUAUCUCUAGUAGAACAGGGAUGUGAUAUCAACCCAGCAAAUCCAUCCCUAUCUAUCUAUAUCAGGGAUUCCCAAGGCCACCCUCAUAUUCAAUGAUUUUCUGGAAGGACUCACAAAAAUCAGAAAAGCAGUUAUACUCAUGAUUACAGUUGAUUAUAGCAAAGGCUAUAGAUGAAACUUGGCAAAGGAAAAUACGCAAAGGGUGGAGUCCAGGAAAGACAAAGUCCAAGCUUCUAGUUGUCCUCUCCCAAUGGGGUUGUAUGAACAACACUUAAUUCUCCCAGAAAUGAUGUGUGAUACUACAUACAAAGUACUGCCAACCAGGAAGUUUAACCAUGCUUUAAACUUGGUGUCCUGGGUUCUUACUGGAGUUUAGCCACAUAGGCAUAGAGUGCCCAUGUAGCUUAUCUUAGCUACUCAAACCCUAGGCCCCCGCUGCCCCCUAGAGGUCAAACUGAUAGCAUAUGGCCCAAGUCUACCACCUAAAUCACAUUUUUAGCAUAAACUAUCUGGUAUGGCCCAGGGCACUGGGCAAACGGUAGCACUCUUAUCAGUAAGGAUAUUCCAAAGGCUCAGGAAUUAUCUCCCUGAACUAGUCCAAGGGCCAGUCCUUUCUUUGGGAUGUACAGGUUUGAACACCCCAGACCCACUGAGUUAACCCUUUCCUGCACAGUGGGGUCCUUCCACUCCACUUGUGUCUGAUCCUAAGUGCAUUAACUUACCCCGUCUCUCUCCUCUUGCGUCUCACUUUGUGUUUUAAAUUGACUUAAUAACUUUGCUAUUUGCAAAUUUUAAUCUGCCUUUUAAUGAGCCCUUCUGGGAUAGCUUGCUUGAUAGUGUAUUUGUAGACUAUCAUUUCAGACUAUCAUUUCAUGUACUUUGAGCUAACUUCUCACCAGACAUGUCCAGCCUUCAUCAUUUGCUUUACCCACCCAUCAUUAGGUGGGUAAAGAGAGGUGGUAUAUUAGUGUGCUUUUCCUGAGCUAUGCCAUGGAGGCAAACAAUACCAAUGCUUACAGUGACCAUGGUUAUAAAUUAGGAAUCUGUACAACCUACCACAGUGGGAUAGAGAGGAGGAGAAAGCUAAAAAAGCAGAUUUUUGAGAGUAUUAUUAUAGGCUUGGUCUUGUUCAUUGCUUCUGGGCACUGCUGACCACAAUUUGCCUACAAGUCACAUUUAGUGAAUGCCCACUACAGACCAGGCACCAUGCUAACCACUCUAGAUGAAUUAGCUUAUCCUCACAAAAACCUAUGAAGUAGGUAUUAUUUAUAUCUUCACCAUUUUAUAGAUGGGUAGAUGGAGGUACAAAGGAACUUUGAGCUUGUGUGCUUUGUCAACAGUGGAGCCAGAAUUCAAAGGCUGGUGACAAAGUUCACACUCUUAACCACUCUGCUAGGCUGUUUGGGCUCUCUCAUUGGUUUGUCUCGGCUACCUGGCAUACAGUAGACAUAACUCUUUUAACUAUGAGUGACAGAAACUCAACUCAAAAUGACUUAAUUGAAAAGGAAUACUUAACUCCACAAGCUUGAAAAUUUCCAGAGCUAGAACUGAAACAGUUGGAUCCAGGAGCUCAAUCAGGAAGUCUGGAUUUGACUGCCCUCUUGCCAUCUCUCAGUUCUGUCUCUUCUUAUUGGGUCUCACUUUUCUCUCGUGGCUGUUGGCAACUCGAAGCUGACAUUCCCAAAGUUUGGCAAUCCCAGCUCUAUGAGAGACAUUCUCUUCCCCAAGAAUUCUAACCACAAACCAAGGAGUUGGAGUGGCUUUGGUUUCCCUAAUCAAUCCAGUCACUGGGGUAGAGCAGUGGCCUGGUGUGGGUGAUGUGUCCAUUCUUGGUGCUAGGUGCUGUGGUCAAUCCCACUUGAACCACAUGGAUUUAACAUGAAAGAGAACAUUGGCCCAAAGGAAGAGGAAACAGCUCCAGGCAGGCAAAAAUAAUCAAUCCUCUUAUUGGGUUCAGAAAAUAUAUGAAUAUUGGAAGAUGGAUGAAUAGAUGGAUGGAUGGGUGGCUGAGUGGAUGAAUGGAUGGAUGGAUGGAUGGAUGGAUGGGUAGACAGAUGCGUAUAUGGGUAAAUGAAUGCAAAAGGUAAUGCCCAAGACAAGGGCCUCUAUGAUGAGAAACGCAUAAGAAAAAUACUUCUUAUGCACCCAAACAGUAAGAGGAGUCAAGGUUAGGUUAAGUCAGUCAAGGUUAAAGAAACUUUGCUUCUCUUCCACAAAAAGAGACACCAGGAUAUUUGGGGGAAAUGGUAGAGAAAGACUAUUGAAAAAAGGUAUAUGAAACAAAGAAUGAGAACAUGAGGAGGAAUUUCUCUAAUGGAGACAAUCACAGUUUUAAUAGGACAUCUGCUUCGAGCAGUAUGAGUUUCUGGGUGCUGCUAUUGUUGGUAUAUCUCUUUUUCUUGGUGCAGUAACUAGGCUACAGUUGUCAUGGGCAAUUACAGCCCAGUGUGCAAAGUCACACAUCCCAUCUGGAGAGACCGGUCACCUCAACUGGCACAAGCCAGCAGGAUCCUCAGGAAAUAUGAGCUCACUCCACAGGGCUUCACAGAUUCUCUUUAACUUCCUAACUCAAACUGUUCCUUUAGGUUGCUCUCUAGUUUUCAGCCUUGUUUGUGUCCCCUUAAAGCUGCCAUUUGGAAAGCUGAAUUUUCAGAAUGGGAUUUGGCAAGGCAAAUGGAGCCUCAGUUGGGAGAGACUAUCUGUCCUGCAGAGAAGGUUAUGAAAAAGGACAGGAUGGUGGAUUCCAGCAGCAGGUUUAGAGAAAGAAAAAAAGAGCGAUGUACAUACUCACAUACAUAAGCAUCUUGAACUGCUUUUAUGCAGAGCUUGGGUUCAGCAAGUCCUUAGCAUAUUUCAGCCCAAAACCCUUGUCUUAUUUUAUUUUUCACCCUACGAUAUGUUUCAGAAAAAAAUGUAAUCUGCAUCUUUCUAGUUCUUCUGACUUCAAUUUUGUCCUUCAAAUUUAUUAGCCCAUCUUUUAAACUCAUACAGCUAUUCUUAUAUAACAACUCCACUCUUCUAUAGCUAAGUAGAUGUUUAUGUCUUUUGUGUUUAUGUCAGGGAUUUGUUGUGAGAAAGUAGGGGGAAGGUUGCUUCCAAGAAUUUGAAAUUUCUUUUUCAACCCAGAAGUUUCUAAGAGUCACGAGCAUCUGCUCUGCUAGUCUAGAGGGCUCAAGUCUAGGGCGCCUUUUGAGGUAUGAUGCUUCAUUCCUUGGGCUCUGAUGUGGGACUGAGUUUGCUUGCAAUCUAGGACCUAAUAUCCUAACUAUUUCCUUCAGCAUCAGGACUGGUUAUGCCCAUCUCAAGCCAACUUAGGGUUAAAUGUAAGAAAACGUUUUCAUUGUAGAAUGCAAUUUGCCAACCAAAACUUAUGCCAAAACUGAAAUCUGAAGGGAGAGAGAACAAAAUGGGGUCACUUUUACGAACUUUUGCCAACCUGGCUGGGCUAAAUGCAGCACAAAGCAAGAGAACUGGUUUUCUAACUGCACCUCGGGCAAGCACAGUGACAGAAGUCCUUUAGGAACCACACAUCACCUGCAAGACAUGGAGAAAGUGGAGAUUCAGCAAGGAGCUGGAUUCUUUGCACAGAUAAUUUCAAACUUGUCCUUUCCCUGCUCUUUCAACUGGUGAGAUACUCUGCAAGAUUUUCUGCCUCAUCCUAUUUUGUUGCCAACCUAUCUCCACUCAAUCCAGUUUUGCCCAGAUAUAAUUAAUGGCAACAAGAGCUUUCCAGCCUACAAAAUUAAUGUGGAAAUGGCUGAAACAGUGUCUUGAUGGCAGAAGGAAGAAACAUUUCCUUAUAAUUUGCCAUGCAAACAAUCCGCUACAUCCGUAACUGUGCCUUUUCACAUGCAAAUGAAGGAGCCAACCUGAUAUAUGAUCUUAAUUGGGCCUCUUUAGGAAAGGAAGUCACAUCUGAACUUGGCUUCAGGAACUUCUACCCGCAUUCACCUUAGUACAUAAGGUCAAAUGAAUAUUUUUUAAAUGAAUGCCUCACUGUAUUUCUUUCCCUGCCUCCCUAGGCUAUUUCAUUCAGAUUCAAAUCUCAUAGUCCAGGCAUUAAUACUGACAAUUCAUCUGACUGUUUAACAAAAAAGGGAGAUAAUUUCUUACAUACAGAAACAGAUAAGCCACUUCCUCAGAUUUGAUGAAUUUAAAUGCCUAACUUCAUCUUAGAAAGAAUAAAGCCAGUAAUAGUGAGAGGAAGUCAGAAGUGGGCAGGGCAGACCAGGUAGGCCCUUAUAAGCCUUGCUAAGACUUUGGAUUGGAGGGUUGAAAGCGGGACAUGACAUGAUUUGAAUUAAUAUUUCCUCUUUUUAUUUUAUUAUUAUUUUUUAUAAAGUUAGGAUUCAAAUUCUAUUUAGGAUGCUAUUUUAAAAAGAGAAAAUGCAAGACCUGAGAGAACCAGAAAUCACCAGUCAGGAGCUGCCAUAUUAUUUUCAAAUAUUCUCCUCUAAAAGUGGAACUGCCCACACAACACGAGCAUACUCAUUGGUCUUGCCACACAAGGAAGAAUUUGUGAGAAAAGUCAAAAUUCAGUUUAUAACAUUCUUUCUCCAUAAAUGAUCAGAGGAUAUCAACUUUUUCUUUAUGAUAUGACUUAGGCUAAGAACUGUGAUCCUGGAUGAAACUUAGCUUCCUUGGCCUCCCUGGCUUCUGCCUAUUGUCAGGCCUCUGAGCCCAAGCCAAGCCAUCGCAUCCCCUGUGACUUGCACGUAUGCCCCCAGAUGGCCUGAAGUAACUGAAGAAUCACAAAAGAAGUAAAAAGGCCCUGCCCCACCUUAACUGAUGACAUUCCACCAUUGUGAUUUGUUCCUGCCCCACCUUAACUGAGUGAUUAACCCUGUGAAUUUCCUUCUCCUGGCUCAGAAGCUCCCCCACUGAGCACCUUGUGACCCCCCGCCCCUGCCCACCAGAGAACAACCCCCUUUGACUGUAAUUUUCCAUUACCUUCCCAAAUCCUAUAAAACGGCCCCACCCCUAUCUCCCUUCGCUGACUCUCUUUUUGGACUCAGCCCACCUGCACCCAGGUGAAACAACCAGCCAUGUUGCUCACACAAAGCCUGUUUGGUGGUCUCUUCACACAGACGCGCAUGAAAUUUGGUGGAUCAGGGGACCUCCCUUGGGAGAUCAAUCCCCUGUCCUCCUGCUCUUUGCUCCAUGAGAAAGCUCCACCUACCACCUCAGGUCCUCAGACUGACCAGCCCAAGAAACAUCUCACCAAUUUCAAAUCCGGUAAGUGGCCUCUUUUUACUCUCUUCUCCAACCUCCCUCACUAUCCCUCAACCUCUUUCUCCUUUCAAUCUUGGUGCCACACUUCAAUCUCUCCCUUCUCUUAAUUUCAAUUCCUUUCAUUUUCUGGUAGAGACAAAGAAGACACGUUUUAUCCGUGGACCCAAAACUCCAGCACUGGUCAUGGACUGGGAAGACAGACUUCCCUUGGUGUUUAAUCAUUGCAGAGACACCUCUCUGAUUAUUCACCCACAUUUCAAAGGUGUCAGACCACAUAGGGAGGCCUGCCUUGGUCCUCCACCCUUAGCGGCAAGUCCCGCUUUUCUGGGGGAGGGGCAAGUAUCCCAACCCCUUCUCUCCAUGUCUCUACCCCUUCUCUGCUUUUCUGGGGGAGGGGCAAGUACCCCUCAACCCCUUCUCCUUCACCCUUAGCGGCAAGUCCUGCUUUUCUGGGGGAGGGGCAAGUACCCCAACCCCUUCUUCAGUGUCUCUACCCCUUCUCUGCUUUUCUGGGGGAGGGGCAAGUACCCCUCAACCCCUUCUCCUUCACCUUUAGUGGCAAGUCCCGCUUUUCUAGGGGGCAAGAACCCCCAAUCCCUUAUUUCUGUACCCCAACCUCUUAUCUCUGUGCCCCAAUCCCUUAUUUCCAUGCCCCACCCCCCCUUCCCACUUUUCUGGAGGGUAAGAACCCCCAAAACCCUUCCCUCCGUGUCUCUACACCCUCUUUUCUCUGGGUUUGCCUCCUUCACUAUGGGCAACCUUCCAUCCUCCAUUCCUCCUUCUUCUCCCUUAGCCUGUGUUCUCAAGAACUUAAAACCUCUUCAACUCACACCUGACCUAAAACCUAAAUGCCUUAUUUUCUUCUGCAAUGACGCUUAACCCCAAUACAAACUCGACAUAGUUCCAAAUAGCCAGAAAACGGCACUUUCAAUUUUUCCAUCCUACAAGAUCUAAAUAAUUCUUGUCGUAAAAUGGGCAAAUGGCCUGAGGUGCCUGACGUCCAGGCAUUCUUUUACACAUCAGUCCCUUCCUAGUCUCUGUGCCCAGUGCAACUCAUCCCAAAUCUUCCUUCUUUCCCUCCCGCCUGUCCCCUCAGUCCCAACCCCAAGCAUCGCUGAGUCUUUCUAAUCUUCCUUUUCUACAGACCCAUCUGACCUCUCCCCUCCUCGCCAGGCCGAGCUAGGUCCCAAUUCUUCCUCAGCCUCCGCUCCUCUACCCUAUAAUCUUUUUAUCGCCUCCCCUCCUCACACCUGGUCCGGCUUACAGUUUCGUUCCGUGACUAGCCCUCCCCCACCUGCCCAGCAAUUUAUUCUUAAAAAGGUGGCUGGAGCCAAAGGCAUAGUCAAGGUUAAUGCUCCUUUUUCUUUAUCCCAAAUCAGAAGCGUUUAGGCUGUUUUUCAUCAAAUAUAAAAAUCCAGCCCAGUUCACGGCUCGUUUGGCAGCAACCCUGAGACGCUUUACAGCCCUAGACCCUAAAAGGUCAAAAGGCCAUCUUAUUCUCAAUAUACAUUUUACUACCCAAUCUGCUCUGGACAUUAAACUCCAAAAAUUAGAAUCUGGCCCCCAAACCCCACAACAGGGCUUAAAUAACCUCACCUUCAAGGUGUACAAUAAUAGAAAAAAGUUGCAAUUCCUUGCCUCCACUGUGAGACAAACCCCAGCCACAUCUCCAGCACACAAGAACUUCCAAACGCCUGAACCGCAGCGGCCAGGCGUUCCUCCAGAACCUCCUCCCCCAGGAGCUUGCUACAUGUGCCGGAAAUCUGGCCACUGGGCCAAGGAAUGCCCGCAGCCUGGGAUUCCUCCUAAGCCAUGUCCCAUCUGUGUGGGACCCCACUGAAAAUCGGACUGUUCAACUCACCUGGCAGCCACUCCCAGAGCCCCUGGAACUCUGGCCCAAGGCUCUCUGACUGACUCCUUCCCAGAUCUUCUCAGCUUAGCGGCUGAAGACUGACACUGCCUGAUCGCCUCGGAAGCCCCCUAGACCAUCAAGGACGCCGAGCUUCAGGUAACUCUCACAGUGGAAGGUAAGCCCAUCCCCUUCUUAAUCAAUACGGAGGCUACCCACUCCACAUUACCUUCUUUUCAAUGGCCUGUUUCCCUUGCCUCCAUAACUGUUGUGGGUAUUGAUGGCCAGGCUUCUAAACCUCUUAAAACUCCCCAGCUCUGGUGCCAACUUAGAUAAUACUCUUUUAAGCAUUCCUUUUUAGUUAUCCCCACCUGCCCUGUUCCCUUAUUAGGCUGAGACACUUUAACUAAAUUAUCUGCUUCCCUGACUAUUCCUGGACUACAGCUAUAUCUCAUUGCCGCCCUUCUCCCCAAUCCAAAGCCUCCUUUGCGUCCUCCUCUUGUAUUCCCCCACCUUAACCCUCAAGUAUAAGAUACCUCUACUCCCUCCUUGGCGACCGAUCAUGCACCCCUUACCAUCUCAUUAAAACCUAAUCACCCUUACCCUGCUCAAUGUCAGGAUCCCAUCCCACAGCAUGCUUUAAAAGGAUUAAAGCCUGUUAUCACUCACCUGCUAUAGCAUGGCCUUUUAAAGCCUAUAAACUCUCCUUACAAUUCCCCCAUUUUACCUGUCUAAAACCAGACAAGCCUUACAAGUUAGUUCAGGAUCUGCGCCUUAUCAACCAAAUUGUUUUGCCUAUCCACCCCAUGGUGCCAAACCCAUAUACUCUCCUAUCCUCAAUACCUCCCUCUACUACCCAUUAUUCUGUUCUGGAUCUCAAACAUGCUUUUUUUUACUAUUCCUUUGCACCCUUCAUCCCAGCCUCUCUUUGCUUUCACUUAGACUGACCCUGACACCAGUUAGGCUCAGCAAAUUACCUGGGCUGUACUGCUGCAAGGCUUCACAGACAGCCCCCAUUACUUCAAUCAAGCCAAAAUUUCAUCCUCAUCUGUUACCUAUCUCAGCAUAAUUCUCAUAAAAACACAUGUGCUCUCCCUGCUGAUCGUGUCCGAUUAAUCUCCCAAACCUCAAUCCCUUACAAAGCAACUCCUUUCCUUCCUAGGCAUGGUUAGCGCGGUCAGAAUUCUUACACAAGAGCCAGGACCGCACCCUGUAGCCUUUCUGUCCAAACAACUUGACCUUACUGUUUUAGCCUAGCCCUCAUGUCUGCGUGGAGCGGCUGCCGCUGCUUUAAUAUUUUUUGAGGCCCUAAAAAUCACAAACUAUACUCAACUCACUCUCUACAUUUCUCAUAACUUCCAAAAUCUAUUUUCUUCCUCAUACCUGACGCAUGUACUUUCUGCUCCCCGGCUCCUUCAGCUGUACUCACUCUUUGUUAAGUCCCACAAUUACCAUUGUUCCUGGCCCGGACUUCAAUCUGGCCUCCCGCAUUAUUCCUGAUACCACACCUGACCCCCAUGACUGUAUCUCUCUGAUCCACCUGACAUUCACCCCAUUUCCCCAUAUUUCCUUCUUUCCUGUUCCUCACCCUGAUCACGCUUGAUUUAUUGAUGGCAGUUCCACCAGGCCUAAUCGCCACACACCAGCAAAGGCAGGCUAUGCUAUAGUACAAGCCACUAGCCCGCCUCUUAAAACCUCUCAUUUUCUUUCCAUCAUAGAAAUCUAUCCUCAAGGAAAUAACUUCUCAGUGUUCCAUCUGCUAUUCUACUACUCCUGAAGGAUUAUUCAGGCCCCCUCCCUUCCCUACACAUCAAGCUCGAGGAUUUGCCCCCGCCCAGUACUGGCAAAUUAGCUUUACUCAACAUGCCCCGAGUCACAAAAACUAAAAUACCUCUUAGUCUAAGUAGACACUUUCACUAGAUAAGUAGAGGCCUUUCCUACAGGGUCUGAGAAGGCCACCACAGUCAUUUCUUCCCUUCUGUCAGACAUAAUUCCUCAGUUUAGCCUUCCCACCUCUAUACAGUCUGAUAACAGACCAGCCUUUAUUAGUCAAAUCAGCCAAGCAUUUUUUCAGGCUCUUAGUAUUCAGUGACAGACUAAUGGUCUAUUAAAAACACACUUCACCAAGCUCAGCCACCAACUUAAAAAGGACUGGACAAUACUUUUACCACUUUCCCUUCUCAGAAGUCAGACCUGUCCUCAGAAUCCUACAAGGUACAGCCCAUUUAAGCUCCUGUAUAUACGCUCCUUUUUAUUAGGCCCCAGUCUCAUUCCAGACACCAGACCAACUUAGACUGUGCCCCAAAAAACUUGUCAUCCCUACUAUCUUCUGUCUAGUCAUACUCCUAUUCUCCGUUCUCAACUACUCAUACAUGCCCUGCUCUUGUUUACACUGCCAGUUUACACUGUUUCUCCAAGCCAUCACAGCUGAUAUCUCCUUGUGCUAUCCCCAAACUGCCACUCUUAACUCUUGAAGUAAAUAAAUAAUCUUUGCUGGCAGGACUAUGCUGAAUCUCCUUAGGCACUCUAAUCAGAUGUCCUAGGUCCUCCCAAUUCUUAGACCUUUUCCAUUUAGUUUUUCAAUUCAUACAAAACAUAUCCAGGCCAUCACCAAUCAUUCUACACGACAAAUGUUUCUUCUAACAACCCCACAAUAUCACCCCUUACCACAAGAUCUUCCAUUCAGCUUAAUCUCUCCCACUCUAGGUUCCCACGCCGCCCCUAAUCCCGCUUGAAGCAGCCCUGAGAAACAUCGCCCAUUCUCUCUCCAUACCACCCCCCAAAAAUUUUUGCCGCCCCAACACUUCAACACUAUUUUGUUUUAUUUUUCUUAUUAAUAUAAGAAGGCAGGAAUGUCUGGCCUCUGAGCCCAAGCCAAGCCAUCACGUCCCCUGUGACUUGCACCUAUAUGCCCAGAUGGCCUGAAGUAACUGAAGAAUCACAAAAGAAGUGAAAAGGCCCUGCCCCGCCUUAACUGAUGACAUUCCACCAUUGUGAUUUGUUCCUGCCCCACCUUAACUGAGUGAUUAACCCUGUGAAUUUCUUUCUCCUGGCUCAGAAGCUCCCCCACUGAGCACCUUGUGACCCCCCCCCACCUCCCCUGCCCACCAGAGAACAACCCCCUUUGACUGUAAUUUUCCAUUACCUUCCCAAAUCCUAUAAAACGGCCCCACCCCCAUCUCCCUUCGCUGACUCUCUUUUCGGACUCAGCCCACCUGCACCCAGGUGAAAUAAACAGCCAUGUUGCUCACACAAAGCCUGUUUGGUGGUCUCUUCACAUGGACGCGCAUGAAACCUACGACUUGUUAUGCUUUGUCAUUGAAAGGUCCUGGCUGAUCUUGGUCAAGUCACCCACUCUUGCUGGCCUCACUUUUCCUCUUUUGUACCAUGAGCCCAGAGAGGACGAUCUCUGAGGCAUUUCUAUCUGCCUCCUCAUAGUUCUAAGUCUCCACUUUUAAUCUACAUUUCCAAUUAAGUGAGCAAUCUGUGAAUGAUUCAGAAGCAACAUUCUAAAGGAGUGGUUCUAACCCUGCCCUGCCCUAUUCUCCAGAAGGUAUCACACCAGUUGCCUCCUUUAAAUAUAAUUCUAUGGAAGUGUUUGCUUACUUGCGUGUUUCCUUCCCUGCCUUCCUCUUGUGCCUUCCAUUACAAUUAUCUUUUCCUCCCAGCCCCCACACUCAAUUGUAGCAAUCGCUCAUUUGCUGGGUAGACGUCUCUAGAGCACCUCUAGGUACAAAGCACAAGGCCCCCGUUUCUGACCAUCAGAGAAGGGAAAGUUAGUGACCAAAGGCGGAAAUGCAAGAUAGAAAGUUCAAAGGAAAACGAGGUCACACAGCAAAGAUUUCCUGGGGAAACAAACAGAAGGAGGAGGAAAGGAAGCUGACAGAAAUAGCCUCAGGACAUUUGCACAUGAAAGGCUCUGGAAGCCUAUCUAUGCUGCUCAGUCCCAGCUUUGGUUUCAUAAGAGGUAACUGGUAAAACUGAGAGGCUUGUAAAACCAGAUUUCAAAGCAUCUCUCUCUCCCUGCUUCUAAGAAACAAGCUUCUAGGCCUCCACACACAGAAACACUUUCCACAAGUCUUUGCCUUUUGGGGUUCAGAAGAGAAACAAGAUACAACAGGCCAUUUGGAAGGGAAGGGUAGCAGGAAAGAGGGGGACAACUAGUGGAAUAAUAACCAAUCAUCAUAAAUUAAUAUUGAGCCCUAAACAUGCAGACCUGCAUUUAGAGCACAAAACAAUUAGUUCCCACAUAGACUGAGUCUUUACAAAUAUUUAAGUUGGAAAGAGAGAAAAGAAACAAAUCCUCAUUUUGGUAUUUGCAGGAAAUACAUGAGUUUCAGCUUGGGAGGCAAUGGGGUGCUCUAGGGUGGGAAAUGAUGUCUUGAACAAUUAAGGUGCCUACUCCUGCCCUUUAUCCAAGCAGACUUCCUUCCCAUCCAUCCCGUAGCUAUCACUGGGGUGUCUACCCACUGUGUUCACUUCUGCAAACUUCUCUGACAGAAGAAAGGGGGACUUGCAGCUGGACGCUGCUCCCUGGCUCUUUGGAGUGGGUUCUUUUACAUUGUACUUCUCCACAGCAUGGACCAUAGAUUAAUUGCAGGCAUGACUCAGGGAGAGCUUGCUAAAGAAGCAGGGUCCUGGCCUCCACCCAAAACUUCUGACUCUGAAUCAGUGUCUAACAUUUCUUUAUUUAUGUACUUACUUAUCGGUUUUGUUCACUGCUAUAUCUUAAGCUCCUAGAAAAGUAUUGAGCAUGGUAGAUGCUCAAUAAUUAUGUACUGAAUAAAUGCAUGAAUUCACAUAUUACAUUCACUUGGCCACAGUGGUUGGCUUUAGGAAACACAAUCAGUAUGACACAAGAAGACCCAGUUCGAGGGCUCUUGUUGGGAAUGAGAGCCAUUCUUUUAUUUGCAGGGAUGGAUUAAAAAAACAGUGGGGUGAUUUUUGCCUGAGAAUAAAGUCAACAGAGAGAAAAGUGGAGCCAAGAGAUUGAGUGAGAAAGACUGGGUCCCGAUGACACUAAACUUCUAGAGCCAGCUGUGAUUUCCUUUGGGAUGAGAGGCAAUAAAUUCCUUUCUGCUGAAGCUGUGCUGACUGGGGUCUCCAUCACUCACUGAGACCUGCCAGGCUUCCUGGUGCUUCCCUGUCAGGAUCACACACUCAGGCUGAGUGACAGCUUUUCAGAGCAGACUUGAUGCCUUUUCGUGUUUCCUAUAUCUCUCCUUUUCCAACCUCCUGCUCUUGAGGGUCUUUAAUGUAGGGCAGGGCUUUCUAGGCAUGGUUACCAUUGUUAUGAUUAUUGUAAGAAACUUAUUUUUGAAAAUGACUUAAGAAUUUGCAAAUCAUUUUGUAUUUAUUACCUCAUUUGAUCCUCUCAAGGACCCAUAAAUCAGCAGUGGACGUGUAAUCCUCGUCCAGUUCAUUGAUGAGAAAAUGGACACUCGAGGAGAUAAAGGCUCCAGUCCUGGGGUCAGAUGACUCGUAUGCAGCAGGGUCUGACCUGGAUUCUCACCCAGGCCCUCUAAUCACAUAGCCCUUGCUUUUUCGCUUUGUCUUUAUGUCUCCUUUUCAAGAAAAAAAUAAUAGGCCUAAGAUUCAGUGAGUUUUCCCUAAUGAAUUUAUAGACUCGAGCCAUAAAGAACACUUGAGAUUCCUUGGACCUUGCAGGAAUGUUUCUGUGUCCCACUGUUGGAUUUUGUAAAUGGAGCAAGUCUCCAACAGGAUGAUACUCAGGCCAUGGCUGCUUUCUGGAGCUUCCAGAUACUUUAUGAUGAGAAAUUAGUUGAGUUCAUGUCAGUAGCAUCUUUGCAGCCCAUUUCCUGAUACAGAUGGUGUGGACUGAAACACAAGAGUGGGAUGGAAAUCCAUCCUGGUAGAGUUCAGCAGAUAAAUGACAUAUUUUAGAACUUGUGUCCAGACAACAUCCCAAGGUACAAGACACCAUUUUCCCUUCACCAAUACCUAAUGCUCACUGUUGAGAAGCCAGUGCAGACUUCAGCCUAGACACACACACACACACACACACACACACACACACACACAUUUAUAAUUUAUUUAUUGGGUGUUUUAAAACUGUACGCUCUAGGAAAUGACUAUGGAUGAAAGCCUAGAACUUAUAUACCAGUAAAAAACAAAUACAAAUAUGAUACUAAUUAAAACUAUAGCAAGAUAUAAAGUUCACCCAGAAAACAUCACCUUGUUGAGAAGAGACUGUUUAAAGAUACAAGUCAGAAUACAAAGGCUGGCACCUUGUCCUUAGUGAAUUAAAAAUUCCAGAGUCCUUCAUGGAUUUGAAACUUGCCAUUGGAAUUAUAAAUAUUGCCAUAUUGAUAGAUAUACCUUGACAGUUAUGAAUAGUAGCAGUAAUAAUAAUGAUGAUAAAUGUUAUCUGAAAUAAACAAUAGCUAAUACUUUAUUGUUAGCCAAGAACUCACUCUCCACGUAUCAUCUCAUUUGAUAGAACAGUCCUGAUGACAAUAUAGAGCUCAUCACAGGCAGUUCAGAAACAAUCCCAUGCAUUAUUAACGGAUGUCCCGAAGCAUCGGCUCUCAGAACAAGAGCGACUCAUUGAGUCCAGCUGGAUCAUUCUACAGAUGAUAACAAUAGUCAACAUUUGUUAAGCCAGGCCCAGUGCUACACAUUUUACAUUCAUUAUCUCAUUUAAUCCUCAUCCCCAGUUUGUUGGUCAGGAAACUGAGACUUAGCAAUGUUAAGCAAUUUAUGAUGGUUACUCAACUAGCAAAUGAGAGAGCCAGGCUGUGUGGUUGAAAGGUGUUAUCCUUGUGGCUCAAGAUACACUUCUAGUUCGGUCCUACACAACUUCAUGUUCUUUACUAGCAGAGCUAAGAUAUGACAAACUUUCUGCCUUGGAGCAAAGGGUCCAAAAGAAGACAAAUGAAAGAGAACCUAUACUAACUAGCCAUUUGCCCUUUGGAAAAUCAGCAUCCCCCAGCCUUGUCUUCUGCAAAACAAGACCCUUAGACUGAAUGCUCUCUAAAGAAUCAUUCAGCUCUAACAUUUGAUGAUACCAUAAAAUAUAUCAUGCGUGGUAAUAGGCAAGUGUGUUGGGAAGGGAAAUUUUGCUAUUUAA
Molecule: long non-coding RNA, 18829 nt
Organism: Homo sapiens (human)
Lineage: Eukaryota; Metazoa; Chordata; Mammalia; Primates; Hominidae
Exons: 2
Source: RefSeq, a predicted model, not a curated record